RNAcentral lists this ribosomal RNA (369 nucleotides) under uncultured bacterium. Its description in RNAcentral is "bacterial SSU rRNA". It matches the Rfam family "Bacterial small subunit ribosomal RNA", at positions 30 to 396 of the family's 1533-position model. The record is from RNAcentral.
AUUGAACGCUGGCGGCAGGCCUAACACAUGCAAGUCGAACGGUAACAGGAAGAAGCUUGCUUCUUUGCUGACGAGUGGCGGACGGGUGAGUAAUGUCUGGGAAACUGCCUGAUGGAGGGGGAUAACUACUGGAAACGGUAGCUAAUACCGCAUAACGUCGCAAGACCAAAAAGGGGGACCUUCGGGCCUCUUGCCAUCGGAUGUGCCCAGAUGGGAUUAGCUAGUAGGUGGGGUAACGGCUCACCUAGGCGACGAUCCCUAGCUGGUCUGAGAGGAUGACCAGCCACACUGGAACUGAGACACGGUCCAGACUCUACGGAGCAGCAGUGGGGAAUAUUGCACAAUGGGCGCAAGCCUGAUGCAGCCAUG